Molecule: ribosomal RNA, 440 nt
Filed under: uncultured bacterium
Lineage: Bacteria
Description: partial 16S ribosomal RNA
Rfam family: Bacterial small subunit ribosomal RNA
Source: RNAcentral
CCUACGGGUGGCAGCAGUGGGGAAUAUUGCACAAUGGGGGAAACCCUGAUGCAGCAACGCCGCGUGAGUGAAGAAGUAUUUCGGUAUGUAAAGCUCUAUCAGCAGGGAAGAAGAUGACGGUACCUGAAUAAGAAGCCCCGGCUAACUACGUGCCAGCAGCCGCGGUAAUACGUAGGGGGCAAGCGUUAUCCGGAUUUACUGGGUGUAAAGGGAGCGCAGACGGCUGUGCAAGUCAGGAGUGAAAGCCCGGGGCCCAACCCCGGAACUGCUCUGGAAACUGUGCGGCUAGAGUGCUGGAGGGGCAGGCGGAAUGCCUAGUGUAGCGGUGAAAUGCGUAGAUAUUAGGAGGAACACCAGGGGCGAAGGCGGCCGACUGGACUGUAACUGACGUUGAGGCUCGAAAGCGUGGGGAGCAAACAGGAUUAGAUACCCCGGUAGUC